RNAcentral lists this ribosomal RNA (470 nucleotides) under uncultured Sphingobacteriales bacterium. RNAcentral's name for it is "bacterial SSU rRNA". It matches the Rfam family "Bacterial small subunit ribosomal RNA", at positions 910 to 1382 of the family's 1533-position model. Lineage: Bacteria; Pseudomonadati; Bacteroidota; Sphingobacteriia; Sphingobacteriales. The record is from RNAcentral.
UUGACGGGGCCGCACAAGCGGAGGAGCAUGUGGUUUAAUUCGAUGAUACGCGAGGAACCUUACCUGGGCUCGAACGUAAGAUGACUGUAGGUGAAAGCUUACAUCUCUUCGGAGCAUUUUACGAGGUGCUGCAUGGUUGUCGUCAGCUCGUGCCGUGAGGUGUCGGGUUAAGUCCCAUAACGAGCGCAACCCCUACCUUUAGUUGCCAUCAGGUUAAGCUGGGGACUCUAAAGGAACUGCCUACGCAAGUAGUGAGGAAGGCGGGGAUGACGUCAAAUCAGCACGGCCCUUACGUCCAGGGCUACACACGUGCUACAAUGGCCGAUACAGAGGGCAGCUACCUGGUGACAGGAUGCAAAUCUCCAAAGUCGGUCUCAGUUCGGAUCGGAGUCUGCAACCCGACUCCGUGAAGUUGGAUUCGCUAGUAAUCGCGCAUCAGCCAUGGCGCGGUGAAUACGUUCCCGGGCCUU